GACGAACGCUGGCGGCAUGCUUAACACAUGCAAGUCGAACGGAAAGGCCUGCUUUCCCUUGUGGAUUGCGGGUACUCGAGUGGCGAACGGGUGAGUAACACGUGAGUGAUCUGCCCCCAACUUGGGUAUAAGCCUGGGAAACUGGGUCUAAUUCCCGAUAGGACUGCAGGGUGGUGCCUGUGGUGGAAAACGAUUUUCUAGUGGUUGGGGAUGAGCUCGCGGCCUAUCAGCUUGUUGGUGGGGUAAUGGCCUACCAAGGCGGCGACGGGUAGCCGGCCUGGGAGGGUGGACGGCCACAUUGGGACUGAGAUACGGCCCAGACUCCUACGGGAGGCAGCAGUGGGGAAUAUUGCACAAUGGGCGGAAGCCUGAUGCAGCGACGCCGCGUGGGGGAUGACGGCCUUCGGGUUGUAAACUCCUUUCGACCGCGAGGAAGCCACCUGGUUGGAAGGGUGGUGACGGUAGUGGUAGAAGAAGCACCGGCUAACUACGUG
Molecule: ribosomal RNA, 494 nt
Filed under: uncultured bacterium
Lineage: Bacteria
Description: partial 16S ribosomal RNA
Rfam family: Bacterial small subunit ribosomal RNA
Source: RNAcentral